AACCUUAUGGACCUGCGGGCGUAUACCUGCGGAAGGAUCAUUAUAGAGUUUUCUAAACUCCCAACCCAUGUGAACUUACCUUUUGUUGCCUCGGCAGAAGUUAUAGGUCUUCUUAUAGCUGCUGCCGGUGGACCAUUAAACUCUUGUUAUUUUAUGUAAUCUGAGCGUCUUAUUUUAAUAAGUCAAAACUUUCAACAACGGAUCU
This 205-nucleotide unclassified non-coding RNA is filed under the name soil metagenome. RNAcentral describes it as "partial contains 5.8S ribosomal RNA, internal transcribed spacer 2, and large subunit ribosomal RNA". The record is from RNAcentral.